GACGAAGGGGGCUAGCGUUGUUCGGACUUACUGGGCGUAAAGCGCGUGCAGGUGGUUGUCCAAGUUGGAUGUGAAAGCCUUGAGCUCAACUCAAGAAAUGCAUUCAGGACUGGGCGACUAGAGGACCGGAGAGGAUAGUGGAAUUCCCAGUGUAGUGGUGAAAUGCGUAGAGAUUGGGAAGAACACCAGUGGCGAAGGCGGCUAUCUGGACGGUUUCUGACACUAAGACGCGAAAGCUAGGGGAGCAAACGGG
RNAcentral lists this ribosomal RNA (253 nucleotides) under uncultured bacterium. RNAcentral's name for it is "partial 16S ribosomal RNA". It matches the Rfam family "Bacterial small subunit ribosomal RNA", at positions 524 to 776 of the family's 1533-position model. The record is from RNAcentral.